AUCAAGCGCAGUAAGGGCAUGCGAAGGAUGCCUAGGUAUCGAGAAGCGACGAAAGACGCGUUAGGCUGCGAAAAGCCUCGGGGAGCUGCCAAAUGAGCUUUGAUCCGGGGAUGUCUGAAUGGGGCAACCCACUCCGUCAGGAGUACGGGA
Molecule: ribosomal RNA, 150 nt
Filed under: Actinomycetota bacterium
Lineage: Bacteria; Bacillati; Actinomycetota
Description: Actinobacteria bacterium partial 23S ribosomal RNA
Rfam family: Bacterial large subunit ribosomal RNA
Source: RNAcentral